Molecule: long non-coding RNA, 191 nt
Organism: Lynx canadensis (Canada lynx)
Lineage: Eukaryota; Metazoa; Chordata; Mammalia; Carnivora; Felidae
Exons: 3
Source: RefSeq, a predicted model, not a curated record
CCUAAUGUCAAAAUCUCUUUCUGGAAUUUAUGAGAGGAUAAAAAGUAAUAUCUAAAAUAAAAACUGUCUAUCAAAAGUGAUGUAGAGGCUUCACAGUGGUGCAGAAGGGUGGACCCAGUCCCAACAGUCAGUAUGGAAGUAAAGGACUAUUUUAAAGAACACUGCUAGUGGGGGAGAGGAGCAGAAGAAGA